Molecule: non-coding RNA, 91 nt
Organism: Canis lupus familiaris (dog)
Lineage: Eukaryota; Metazoa; Chordata; Mammalia; Carnivora; Canidae
Source: Rfam
GGGGGGAGGUCGGAUCCCAGGCUGUGUCCCCGGCGCCCUGUGCUCCGGGGCCUGCGCUGUUGGAUUCGGGCUCCCGGCCGGGCAGCCCCCU